GCAUGUACACUCGUGCCCUCAACCAUCCCGUUGUCGCUGCCCCAACCAUCCCGCCGCCUCCACCCCCAAUCACCCCGUCGCCGCCGCCGUUGCCCCCAACAAUCCCGCCGCUCCUGCCGACCCUCCAACCCAACUACUACCGUCGGUGCCCCCAACCAACCCACAGCAGCGCUGGCGAGCAUCCUACUGACCCGGACCACCAUUCUCGUUGAGCCACUCCACCCGCAACCAUGCUCCUCGAAUGCCUUCCCUCGCCACCACUCUACUUCGCGAGACUUCUCCCCGAGCUGGUUUCUAUCUUAGGGCUUGUUUGGUUAAUCCCUUCCACGACGAGAUUGGAGAGGAUUGAAGGGGAUUGAGGUGAAAUUUGACUUGUAGCAGAUUUCUCCCAAUCCGCUCCAAACCCCUUCGAAUCUGAAGGAACCGAACAAGGCCUUAAGGUGCGUGUCGUUGGAGCAAAAUCUCACAAUUUCUGGGAGGGCGCAAAUACCAUAACGUUGUUGAUGGAGCUAGGAGUUCUUUGGAUGAGAUUGGUGAGUGCAAUGGUGUUGGCAUGGACUUAGAUUUGUUGAGAGGGACACAAACACACGCUUCGGGUAACUGGCUCUACCACCCUGCUAGCAGCACGGGAGCGGGCGAACUGGAACCAGAAGAUACCCACGAUCUUGAGUAGUCAGAUUUUCCGCAAAAAAAAAAAAGAGAGUAGUCAGAUCAGCAAGACCGUCUGGGUAAUUCCUCACUGAAACGAGGUUCAUCUGCUCACUUUGAUAACUUUACUUCUGUGCCUGUGUUGGUCCCUUUUCCGGAUCACGAGGUACUAUGAAAUGGUAUCAAGCCUUGCAAUUGCUGAAGAGGGUGAACUUUCAAUUGGAAGUAUUGAUGAUGUCCAGAAGCUUCAUAUCCGCACAAUUCUCUUGAUUGAACAAGCACGAAGCAUUUUCC
Molecule: long non-coding RNA, 942 nt
Organism: Hordeum vulgare subsp. vulgare (domesticated barley)
Lineage: Eukaryota; Viridiplantae; Streptophyta; Magnoliopsida; Poales; Poaceae
Exons: 4
Source: RefSeq, a predicted model, not a curated record